CGUGCACCUACUUGUUUAGACGAACAAAUCCUUUGAAAAGUCUCUACCAGAGCAUAACCCCCAAGUUUUUGUCCUCUGAAUUUUCAAUGGAGAGAUCGGGAUAUGGCAGGGAUGGAAUAUACAGGUCGCUAAGACCUACUCUUAUCGUCCCUAAAGAUCCUAAUCUCUCAAUGGUUUCAUUUCUUUUUAGAAAUUCCAAUUCUUAUCCUCACAAACCAGCUCUUAUUGAUGCAGAUUUAUCAAUAACCUUAUCUUUUGCACAGCUCAAAUCCAUUGUUGUCAAGGUCUCACAUGGCUUACGCCAUUUGGUUAUCUCUAAAAAUGAUGUUGUUCUCAUCUUUGCUCCAAAUUCUUACCAGUACCUUAUUUGUUUCUUGGCCAUCACUGCAAUUGGUGCUAUAGCUACAACUGCAAAUCCUCUUUACACAACCACAGAACUCUCAAAACAGAUAAAAGAUUCUAAGCCCAAGUUGGUCAUAACUGUGCCUGAGUUGUGGAACAAAGUUAAAGAUUUCAAUUUACCAGCUGUGUUUUUAGGUUCUAAGGAGUCUUUAUCUAUAGAGCCCAAUUCAAGAAUAAAAAGUUUUCAUCAUCUGGUUGAGCUAGGAGGGUCUAAUUCUGAAUUCCCUGAGAAUAAAGUGAAGCAAACUGAUACAGCUGCGUUGUUAUAUUCUUCAGGCACAACAGGGACUAGUAAAGGAGUGAUUUUGACGCAUGGGAAUUUCAUUGCGGCUUCUCUAAUGGUCACUAUGGAUCAAGAAAUGGCAGGUGAAAUGCACCAUGUUUUCUUGUGUGUCUUGCCUAUGUUUCAUGUGUUUGGAUUGUCUGUGAUCACAUAUUCGCAGCUGCAAAAGGGCAACGCGAUAGUGUCAAUGGCGAAGUUCGAUUUCGAGAUGGUUUUGAAGAAUGUGGAGAAGUACAGAGUGACCCAUUUGUGGAUUGUUCCUCCAGUAAUACUUGCUUUGGCUAAACAGAGCUCCGUUAAGAAGUACGAUCUCUCAUCACUGCAGCAUGUUGGUUCUGGUGCGGCUCCUUUGGGGAAAGAAUUGAUGGAGGAAUGUGCCAAGAGGAUUCCUCAUGCUGCAGUUGCUCAGGGUUAUGGCAUGACAGAGACCACUGGUAUUGUUUCAGUGGAAAAUCCAAGAAUAGGUAUUCGACAUUCUGGUUCAGCUGGAAUACUUGCUCCGGGAGUUGAAGCCCAAAUAAUCAGUGUAGAUACGUUAAAACCUCUCCCUCCAAAUCAAUUGGGAGAAAUAUGGGUUCGGGGACCCAAUAUGAUGCAAGGAUAUCUCAACAAUCCCCAGGCAACUAAGCAGACCAUAGAUAAAAAGGGUUGGGUACAUACUGGAGAUCUAGGAUACUUUAACGAGGAUGGACAGCUAUAUGUUGUUGACCGUAUUAAAGAGCUAAUCAAGUACAAAGGAUUCCAGGUAACUUCUAAGAAAAAGAAAUUUAAGAUUGCAUGCAAAAUUGUUUACAACAGGUAAAUUCUAUGAUAACAUCUUUCACAAAUUUUGUUAAUUUGGCACCAAGUCACUACUAAAUUAUGAUUGAAUUUGUUUAUUGUCCAAGGUUGCACCAGCUGAACUUGAAGGGCUGCUUGUUUCUCACCCUGAAAUAUUAGAUGCUGUUGUUAUCCCGUAAGUCACACACAAUUGUGCUACUUGCGUCAGCUAGAACAUAAGAACAUAAGAAAUGAUUACCUUUUAACCCCUCACACAUUACACACCAUUGAUAAUAGUCUCUUGCACCUUGUAGCUUUCCCGAUGCUGAAGCUGGUGAGGUCCCAGUUGCUUACAUUGUGCGCUCACCCAACAGUUCACUGACCGAAGAAGAUGUUUUGAAAUUUAUUGCUGAUCAGGUAUUUGACAUGUGGGAACCAUCAUGGUUUCACAAGGGCCUGACUUCACUUGAGUUAGUUGAGUUCAUUCACGUUUGGAUCCUUCCCCUCUUCUUUUUUCUUUUCAACUGCCUUUUCUGUCUGCGCUCUCAUUUUCCAGAAGAGCCUUUUGCAUUUGCAAUAGCUUCUAGGUGUUUGCAGAAAAAUUUAAGGCUUGAUUGAUCUUUUUCUGGAGAGGACUGGCCAUGGUAUUGGAUAACUUAAAAUUCGGUAGUGUGAUAACAUGAGGGAAAGAGGGAGGCCUAAGCUAACGUGGAUGGAAGUAGUAUCACAGGAUUUACAAGUUUUGAGUAUUGAGCUGAACUCGGUGUCUAGCAGAGCUGAAUGGUGAAAAGGAUCCGUAUAGCUGACUCCAACUAGUUUGGGAUUAAGAUUU
Molecule: unclassified non-coding RNA, 2276 nt
Filed under: Hevea brasiliensis (rubber tree)
Lineage: Eukaryota; Viridiplantae; Streptophyta; Magnoliopsida; Malpighiales; Euphorbiaceae
Source: RNAcentral